Molecule: long non-coding RNA, 1990 nt
Organism: Zingiber officinale
Lineage: Eukaryota; Viridiplantae; Streptophyta; Magnoliopsida; Zingiberales; Zingiberaceae
Exons: 6
Source: RefSeq, a predicted model, not a curated record
UUCAAUCCUUUUUUUUUCUAUCUACUGUGUUAUUUCUUUUUUCUCCUCAAUCCCUAACGCGUACUUGCCACCACCGUUCCUCUCACCCACGCUCACGCAUCCCUAUUGCCGGCGUUGCCAGGCAUCGUUCCUCUCACCCACGAUCACACAUCCAUGUCACCAUCCCUUGCAGGUUGCAGCCUGCAAUUUCGCCAUUGUAGAGAAGGUCUCGAUAGAGCUCUUCCCUCUCCGUAGCAAGCAAGAGGAGCGCAACAAGCUCGUCUUCCCUCUCCACAGUAAGCAAGGAGGAGCUCAAGGUAAUCGUAAAUUUUUUAUUUCUCAUUAAAAUAGAAUCCCAGAGAGCGCCGGCUGCGCGAACCGGCUACCUGCCGACUGCUUGGUGGAGGGUGAUGAUUUGUUUGAUGAGGACUUGAAUGGAUUUAUUUCUAAGCUUACGAAUGUGAUUCCCAAAGUCAAUAAGGCCAUGAGCUUUGUUGAAAUUAUCAAGUGAGUUUCUCUUUGUCCAAAAUCUCUUGCUUUUGGACUGCGAUAAGGUAUAAUUGAAGUCGUGCAAUCAUGUGCAAUUUAAAACCUUUUUUCUCUCGUCUGAUGGCUUACUUGAAGCCUUUAUGCGCUUGGAUUGAUAGAUCCUACUUUAAUUCUUUGUCGAUUCUGAGCAAGGUUUUACUCUCAUUAUGAGCAUGGAGGUUUAUAACAUUUCAGUGUGAUACUCACAGUUAAGAAUACAUAUAACUUAUGAGAAGGACAGAUUCCAUUUUGUAACAAAACUCAUUCUUCAUAUUUGAUAAAUUUUUAGGUGCUCUUCAGAAGUCCAUAUGAUUAGGUUAACAUUUCUAAGUUUGUUUUAUAUGUUUGAUAAGUUAUGUACCAAUUCAUUUAUGAUACAAACCUUUGAGGUUUGUUUUUAUAAUGUUUAAUGCUUGUGUUCUAUGGGGAAUCUUGUUAUAUGAUGUGAAUUCUUAUGCUUAUCAUCUUUGAAGAAGUUUUUAUUUUCUCGAAUGAUGUAUAUGAGCCAAAACUUAAGAGGAUGAAUUGCUAAAAAACAUCUUUCUUUCUUUUUAUUUGCAGAUUAGUCAGUUAUACUGUUGGAUACUGCUCCAACUGGUCAUAAUUUAAGACUAUUGCAAUUCCCAUCAACUUUAGAGAAGGGGCUUGAGAAAGUUGUCUAAAAAAAAUAGAUUUGGCAGUAUGUUGACCCAAGUACCUGCACUAUCCUUAGGCAAUUCAUAACCCUCCCAAGCUGGCUACUCCUCUAUUUGAUACUAAAAUGGCAGAGGACCCUAAGAUGGCAUACAUAGACCUAGAUAAUCUUCAAUUGGUGUUUUGAACGAAGAGCACAGUAGUGUUUGGUCUUGCAUUGUGAUGGCGUCUGAGUGUUGGCUUGGUCUCUAUUGGCUUGCUACAUAUCUAGAAAGCUCCAUGAUUUGUGCUUAGGUAGUUCUUCUCAACGAGCAUAUCUGAGAUGGAACUUCCAUGCUAUUUGCUUUUUCGAGUUUGAUUUGCUGCUACAAGAUCGGAAAGAUAUUAUGUAGUUGUUGUUCCUUCUGGUCGAACAGUUUCACUUUCCCGUCUUAGUUUCUUGUAUGUUCUUUGUUAAAUAAUUACGUGGAUUUAAUUCUUAUCGGUAACAGCUGAAGUGUAUCUAAUUUGGAUUUUCUGGCUCAAAAUAUCAGUAGAUUUGUUGUGGUAGUGCCCUAACAGGAUUUGAGGCUUCUCCAUUCAGGUAGGUUAUGCUCGUUUGACUCACAUUAUGGAAAAGACAAGUUCGGUAGAUACAAAAAUUACAAGAUUGCAAGUUUGGAUUGAAGGUCACAAGAAAAAAAAUGAGGAGCCUAGUACUCAAGCUAUUAGAGAGAAAAUAUUUCUCAAUGAUGCAAUAGGAAGCACGGUCGCAUGGUUAUCUAAAUUUAUAGUAUUGUGUGAUUGAUACAUAUUAUACUUAUUUGUUUGGAUUGUAAGUUGAAUUGUUGUUAUAUAAUUGCUAGUUUGU